RNAcentral lists this ribosomal RNA (1410 nucleotides) under Triticum aestivum (bread wheat). RNAcentral describes it as "partial small subunit ribosomal RNA". The record is from RNAcentral. Lineage: Eukaryota; Viridiplantae; Streptophyta; Magnoliopsida; Poales; Poaceae.
AUGUGCUCAGGCGGAGGAGGUGAGUCAGUGUUGGGGAUUGCACGGGUGGGUGACCCUCCCAUGGUCACCCCGCUUGUCGAUCCGGCGGCCUCAACCACGACGCAUGCCUCGUCGGCGCCCGUCCCCGACGUCCCCAGCUCCACCACCAAGGCCCAGGAGAUCCCCACGGUCGACCAUGAUUCAGCCCCGGUGUGCAUCGCGAUGGUGCCUGUCACCUGUUCGACGGAGUGCUCGACCCAGGUCAACACCAUCGACAUCGUCGACGAGGUCCAUGACGCCACCACCGCUAUCCACCUCGAGCCCACGGUCGACCGCAUCAACCAAGCAGCCGAGCAACUCACUCCAGUGCAGGCAACGGCCUCUAAUGCUAAGGUCGUUUCUCCCGUGAUGACCACCACCGACGUCGACCCCAAGGCCGGCGUGCAGGAGCUCGAUGCCCUCUCUGUCAACACCUCCACGCAAGUGAUGAGCAAGCCAGAUCACGGCGUCGUCCUCAUCAUCCUCAGCGAGUUCUCUGCACCGAUGCUGACCAUGUGUUUGACAGAUUACAUCGUCCAUGGCGACGAUCCGGUGCAGCCAACUGCACACACAGAGCAGCAACCAUGGCCACCACCUCUAGGAGUGAGCACCAAACACAUCGGGCGCCUGUUUAGGCCUAGGCCGUGGCCGUCUUUCAAGUCUCAUUCAGAUGCAAGCUGUCAGGAGGAGCCAUGUUCAGGUAUACGUUGUCAGCCACAUGAAGUAUUAUGGUUUAGUUCUGGACCCGUUCUAAGGUUAUUCAGAGAUGUGGUUUUCCCUCAAGUUUCUGGUUGUGAGGUGAUUUCCAUGGAAGUGUAUUUUAGUUGUCUAUCGGGUGCACAACUGCCGUCUUGGCGUCCACUGGAUCGUGCAACAUCCGAUGCUAAACAGUCCAACCCAGCAGGUCGCAGCCAAGCAGUGGUACAUGAAUCAUCUUGCCUUCAAACUAGUCGUACACAUGUAGGUUAUCUUACCUGUUUGGGGCUAGCAACAUUACAUAUGGAGCCGGUGAACUAUAAAGACUUGCAGUUCUAUCCAUGUUGCAGAGUGCAAUCACAGGAAAUUGCUGAAUGGUGUACCCAUCUUUAUGCUUCCACUGAAUUUUAUUUGGACAAGUUUGCUUGCUGUUGCCCCAUAGUGCCGAGAGAUAUUCCUGCCGUGAGUCAGCCGAUCAUGCAAAUUAUUGGCGGUCUGUACCUGAGUGUUGUGGAAGGGAGGUCUAUUAUCUUUCAGGUGCAUACUUCUAAUGAACUUUGUGCUCAAGAUGCACAUUUGUUGUUCAGGAUCAGUCAAAAGAAUGUACACCUGAAGCUAUCAAGACCAUCUUGUUCUUGCAAUUUCCGAAUAAAGAAACAGGGAACAAUUCAGUUUAUGCUUGUGUCAGUGCACUGA